Salvia splendens (bonfire salvia) is the source of this 1021-nucleotide long non-coding RNA. RefSeq lists it as uncharacterized. Lineage: Eukaryota; Viridiplantae; Streptophyta; Magnoliopsida; Lamiales; Lamiaceae. The transcript is spliced from 2 exons. The record is from RefSeq and is a predicted model, not a curated record.
UGCACCAUUUUCCCUCACACCCAAAAAUCUCUUCUCUCUUUUUCCAUACUAAAUUAUACUCCUUAUGCAAUUGCUAGCUGAGUUUGAGGGUUUUUUUCUUUCAAGAAAUUGAUUGGAGUUUUGAUUUGGUGAAUGGAAUCUAUUCAAUAAGGGUAAGGGAGGUGACAGAAGAGAGUGAGCACAAAUGGUGUUUUUCUUGCAUGAAUUGUUCAUGCUUGAAGCUAUGUGUGCUCACUCUCUUGCUGUCACCCCACCCUCUCUCUCUCUCUCUCACACACACACACACACUAUGUCUAUAUCUAUAUGGAGUCAUUUAUGAAUAUGUGUGUUUGUUCUCCCUAUGUGGAUAAUUUUCUUGAUUAGGUAGAAGGGUUUUGUUUUCUUUUUUUUAUUGUAAUUUUUUAAGGUAUUUUGUAGCAAUAGGGUUACUGACAGGCUGAUUAGGGCUUUUUUUUCCAAAUCUUGAUUUAGGGUUUUGAAGAUUUGAGUUUUUUCACUUUUUUUGGGGAAAAAAGCCCUAAUUGACUUUCAAGGAGAUUUUUGAUCUACUCUACUGGUUUUUAGCCAUGAUGUUUGUGUUGAUCAAUAUUUAUGCUCUUUUUUCUUUUGUAGAUAUCUUGAAUUUAAUAAUAUAUUUAUAUCAAUCACAAUUGCUUGCUUGUGCCCAUUUCUUGCAGCAGAAAAUUUUGACUAAUUUUCUAUGAUGGGAGCUGGAAAAACUUGCAGCAGCCGAUUAAAGAAGAGAUUCAACUGAUGCUCUUGAAUUUUUUAUUUUGCCAUCAAAUGGAAGAACUUCUUUUAUCAUAUUCUAAUGGAUAUUGAAGAAUCUGAAUGGACAACCUUAUUUCGACCCAAAAGGGACUACCUAGCUUAGGUUAUUUUAUUUGAACUAUCAAGUUUCUAAAUACAUUGUCAAAUUGUAUAUAGUCUUUGUUUCCAUAUAUAAUUAGCUCGUUUUUUGUUGUAUCAUGAUAGAUUGUAAUUUGAGAUGAUGAAUUUAUGGAUUCCUUAUUCUUUUUCA